ACAUAGUUUGAGUAAGUUACUUCCAAGCAUGGUUAGUCCGUCGGUUUAUGAAAAAGAAAGAACAGUUGUAGUCUUUGGGAACUGGAUCUGGUUAUCAGUUUAAAUUACUAAUUUUGCUCUCUUUUAUUUUUCUUGUCAUGUCUCGCAUGAAGAAAGAACUCAUUUAAUUUGAUUCUUUAUGUAAAGUUUUGCUACUAUCUAGUUUCAUUUUCUUUAUUUCAGCAAAAAAAAAAUGUUAAGCUUGGUUUUGACAUUGGAUGUGAUUUGAAUUUCUAUAAUACCAAAAACCUGUUCAGGUUCAAGUAGAUUUCGAUGACAAAGGCAGCUGGGAAUAUCUAUUC
RNAcentral lists this long non-coding RNA (341 nucleotides) under Nicotiana benthamiana. RNAcentral's name for it is "long non-coding RNA (NBEN_LNC041858)". Lineage: Eukaryota; Viridiplantae; Streptophyta; Magnoliopsida; Solanales; Solanaceae. The record is from RNAcentral.